CGCGUAGGCGGCUUGGCAAGUCAGAUGUGAAAUUUCAUAGCUCAACUAUGAAGCUGCAUAUGAAACUGCCAGGCUAGAGUAUAAAUAGAGAAAAUGGAAUUCCACGUGUAGCGGUGGAAUGCGUAGAUAUGUGGAAGAACACCGGUGGCGAAAGCGGUUUUCUAGUUUAUAACUGACGCUGAGGCGCGAAAGCGAAGGGGGAGCGAACA
RNAcentral lists this ribosomal RNA (209 nucleotides) under uncultured bacterium. RNAcentral's name for it is "partial 16S ribosomal RNA". It matches the Rfam family "Bacterial small subunit ribosomal RNA", at positions 568 to 774 of the family's 1533-position model. The record is from RNAcentral.